UGUGAGGCUGAUGUGUAGGCAAAUCCGCGCAUCAUUAAGGCUGGGCUGUGAUGGGGAGCGAAAAUUGCAGUAGCGAAGGUCAUGAGUUCAGGCUGCCAAGAAAAGCCUCUAGCCAGGUGAAGGUGCCCGUACCGCAAACCGACACAGGUAGGCGAGCAGAGUAUGCUAAGGCGCUCGGAAGAACUCUCGUUAAGGAACUCGGCAAAAUGACCCCGUAACUUCGGGAGAAGGGGUGCCUCGGUAGGGUGAGUAGCCCGAGGGGGCCGCAGUGAAAAGGCCCAAGCGACUGUUUAGCAAAAACACAGGUCUGUGCGAAGCCGUAAGGCGAAGUAUACGGGCUGACGCCUGCCCGGUGCUGGAAGGUUAAGGGGAGUGGUUAGCCGCAAGGCGAAGCUAUGAACCGAAGCCCCAGUAAACGGCGGCCGUAACAAUAACGGUCCUAAGGUAGCGAAAUUCCUUGUCAGGUAAAUUCUGACCCGCACGAAUGGCGUAACGACUUGGGCGCUGUCUCAACGAGAGAUCCGGUGAAAUUUUAAUACCUGUGAAGAUGCAGGUUACCCGCGACAAGACGGAAAGACCCCAUGGAGCUUUACUGCAGCUUGAUAUUGGACUUUGGUACGAUCUGUACAGGAUAGGUGGGAGCCUUGGAAACCGGAGCGCCAGCUUCGGCGGAGGCAUCGUUGGGAUACCACCCUGAUCGUAUCGGAGUUCUAACCUGGUACCGUGAUCCGGUACAGGGACCGUGUCAGGUGGGCAGUUUGACUGGGGCGGUCGCCUCCUAAAAUGUAACGGAGGCGCCCAAAGGUUCCCUCAGAAUGGUUGGAAAUCAUUCGUAGCGUGCAAAGGCAUAAGGGAGCUUGACUGCGAGACCUACAAGUCGAGCAGGGACGAAAGUCGGGCUUAGUGAUCCGGUGGUACCGCAUGGAAGGGCCAUCGCUCAACGGAUAAAAGCUACCCUGGGGAUAACAGGCUUAUCUCCCCCAAGAGUCCACAUCGACGGGGAGGUUUGGCACCUCGAUGUCGGCUCAUCGCAUCCUGGGGCUGAAGUAGGUCCCAAGGGUUGGGCUGUUCGCCCAUUAAAGCGGUACGCGAGCUGGGUUCAGAACGUCGUGAGACAGUUCGGUCCCUAUCUGUCGUGGGCGUAGGAAAUUUGAGAGGACCUGUCCUUAGUACGAGAGGACCGGGAUGGACGCACCGCUGGUGUACCAGUUGUUCCGCCAGGAGCAUAGCUGGGUAGCUACGUGCGGACGGGAUAAGCGCUGAAAGCAUCUAAGCGUGAAGCCCCCCUCAAGAUGAGAUUUCCCAGUAUGUAAGACCCCUGGAAGACGACCAGGUUGAUAGGUUCGAGGUGGAAGCGCAGCAAUGCGUGGAGCUGACGAAUACUAAUCGGUCGAGGGCUUAUAC
Molecule: ribosomal RNA, 1404 nt
Filed under: metagenome
Description: bacterial LSU rRNA
Rfam family: Bacterial large subunit ribosomal RNA
Source: RNAcentral